This 200-nucleotide ribosomal RNA is filed under the name uncultured bacterium. Its description in RNAcentral is "partial 16S ribosomal RNA". It matches the Rfam family "Bacterial small subunit ribosomal RNA", at positions 30 to 229 of the family's 1533-position model. The record is from RNAcentral.
AUUGAACGCUGGCGGCAGGCCUAACACAUGCAAGUCGAGCGCGAAAGUUCUUCGGAAUGAGUAAAGCGGCGGACGGGUGAGUAAUACAUGGGAAUCUGCCUGGUAGUGGGGGACAACGUUUCGAAAGGAACGCUAAUACCGCAUACGCCCUACCGGGGGAGGGAGGGGGGGAGUCUUCGGACCUCUCGCUAUCAGAUGAG